Non-coding RNA from Caenorhabditis elegans, 66 nucleotides. Lineage: Eukaryota; Metazoa; Nematoda; Chromadorea; Rhabditida; Rhabditidae. The record is from Ensembl.
GAAAAUUGGUGCGUACCAGGAGAUGACAGUUGGUAAGAAGCUUGCGACAAUUGGGAUGCAGGUCUG